Molecule: ribosomal RNA, 482 nt
Filed under: uncultured bacterium
Lineage: Bacteria
Description: partial 16S ribosomal RNA
Rfam family: Bacterial small subunit ribosomal RNA
Source: RNAcentral
AUUGAACGCUGGCGGCAUGCUUUACACAUGCAAGUCGAACGGUAACAGGCCGCAAGGUGCUGACGAGUGGCGAACGGGUGCGUAAUGCAUCGGAACGUGCCCAGUCGUGGGGGAUAACUACUCGCAAGAGUAGCUAAUACCGCAUACGAUCUAUGGAUGAAAGCGGGGGACCGUAAGGCCUCGCGCGAUUGGAGCGGCCGAUGUCAGAUUAGGUAGUUGGUGGGGUAAAGUCCCACCAAGCCAACGAUCUGUAGCUGGUCUGAGAGGACGACCCGCCACACUGGAACUGGGACACGGCCCAGACUCCUACGGGAGGCAGCGGUGGGGAAUUUUGGACAAUGGGCGCAAGCCUGAUCCAGCAAUGCCGCGUGCAGGAAGAAGGCCUUCGGGUUGUAAACUGCUUUUGUACGGAACGAAACGGCUCUGGUUAAUACCCGGGGCUAAUGACGGUACCGUAAGAAUAAGCACCGGCUAACUACGUG